UACGGGGGGGGGCAAGCGUUGUUCGGAAUUACUGGGCGUAAAGGGUUCGUAGGUGGCCAACUAAGUCAUACGUGAAAUCCCUCAGCUUAACUGGGGAACUGCGUCUGAUACUGGUUGGCUUGAGUGCAGGAGAGGAACGCGGAAUUCCAGGUGUAGCGGUGAAAUGCGUAGAUAUCUGGAGGAACACCGGUGGCGAAGGCGGCGUUCUGGACUGCAACUGACACUGAGGAACGAAAGCCAGGGGAGCAAACGGG
This 254-nucleotide ribosomal RNA is filed under the name uncultured bacterium. Its description in RNAcentral is "partial 16S ribosomal RNA". It matches the Rfam family "Bacterial small subunit ribosomal RNA", at positions 524 to 776 of the family's 1533-position model. The record is from RNAcentral.